GCCUCUGAAUAGCUCAGUCGGUAGAGCAUGAGACUCUUAAUUCCAGGGUUGCGGGUUCAAGUCCCACAUUGGGUG
Non-coding RNA from Podarcis lilfordi (Lilford's wall lizard), 75 nucleotides. The record is from the annotation of a GenBank genome assembly. Lineage: Eukaryota; Metazoa; Chordata; Lepidosauria; Squamata; Lacertidae.